Molecule: ribosomal RNA, 2899 nt
Filed under: Klebsiella pneumoniae
Lineage: Bacteria; Pseudomonadati; Pseudomonadota; Gammaproteobacteria; Enterobacterales; Enterobacteriaceae
Description: bacterial LSU rRNA
Rfam family: Bacterial large subunit ribosomal RNA
Source: RNAcentral
UUAAGCGACUAAGCGUACACGGUGGAUGCCCUGGCAGUCAGAGGCGAUGAAGGACGUGCUAAUCUGCGAAAAGCGUCGGUAAGGUGAUAUGAACCGUUACAGCCGGCGAUGUCCGAAUGGGGAAACCCAGUGCAAUUCGUUGCACUAUCGUUAACUGAAUACAUAGGUUAACGAGGCGAACCGGGGGAACUGAAACAUCUAAGUACCCCGAGGAAAAGAAAUCAACCGAGAUUCCCCCAGUAGCGGCGAGCGAACGGGGAGCAGCCCAGAGUCUGAAUCAGCUUGUGUGUUAGUGGAACGGUCUGGAAAGUCCGACGGUACAGGGUGAUAGUCCCGUACACCAAAAUGCACAGGCUGUGAACUCGAAGAGUAGGGCGGGACACGUGGUAUCCUGUCUGAAUAUGGGGGGACCAUCCUCCAAGGCUAAAUACUCCUGACUGACCGAUAGUGAACCAGUACCGUGAGGGAAAGGCGAAAAGAACCCCGGCGAGGGGAGUGAAAAAGAACCUGAAACCGUGUACGUACAAGCAGUGGGAGCACCUUCGGGUGUGACUGCGUACCUUUUGUAUAAUGGGUCAGCGACUUAUAUUCUGUAGCAAGGUUAACCGUAUAGGGGAGCCGCAGGGAAACCGAGUCUUAACUGGGCGUUAAGUUGCAGGGUAUAGACCCGAAACCCGGUGAUCUAGCCAUGGGCAGGUUGAAGGUUGGGUAACACUAACUGGAGGACCGAACCGACUAAUGUUGAAAAAUUAGCGGAUGACUUGUGGCUGGGGGUGAAAGGCCAAUCAAACCGGGAGAUAGCUGGUUCUCCCCGAAAGCUAUUUAGGUAGCGCCUCGUGAAUUCAUCUUCGGGGGUAGAGCACUGUUUCGGCUAGGGGGUCAUCCCGACUUACCAACCCGAUGCAAACUACGAAUACCGAAGAAUGUUAUCACGGGAGACACACGGCGGGUGCUAACGUCCGUCGUGAAGAGGGAAACAACCCAGACCGCCAGCUAAGGUCCCAAAGUCAUGGUUAAGUGGGAAACGAUGUGGGAAGGCACAGACAGCCAGGAUGUUGGCUUAGAAGCAGCCAUCAUUUAAAGAAAGCGUAAUAGCUCACUGGUCGAGUCGGCCUGCGCGGAAGAUGUAACGGGGCUAAACCAUGCACCGAAGCUGCGGCAGCGACACUAUGUGUUGUUGGGUAGGGGAGCGUUCUGUAAGCCUGCGAAGGUGACCUGUGAGGGUUGCUGGAGGUAUCAGAAGUGCGAAUGCUGACAUAAGUAACGAUAAAGCGGGUGAAAAGCCCGCUCGCCGGAAGACCAAGGGUUCCUGUCCAACGUUAAUCGGGGCAGGGUGAGUCGACCCCUAAGGCGAGGCCGAAAGGCGUAGUCGAUGGGAAACAGGUUAAUAUUCCUGUACUUGGUGUUACUGCGAAGGGGGGACGGAGAAGGCUAUGUUAGCCGGGCGACGGUUGUCCCGGUUUAAGCAUGUAGGCUGAUUAUCCAGGCAAAUCCGGAUAAUCAAGGCUGAGGUGUGAUGACGAGGCACUACGGUGCUGAAGUAACAAAUGCCCUGCUUCCAGGAAAAGCCUCUAAGCAUCAGGUAACAUCAAAUCGUACCCCAAACCGACACAGGUGGUCAGGUAGAGAAUACCAAGGCGCUUGAGAGAACUCGGGUGAAGGAACUAGGCAAAAUGGUGCCGUAACUUCGGGAGAAGGCACGCUGGUGUGUAGGUGAAGUCCCUGCGGAUGGAGCUGAGACCAGUCGAAGAUACCAGCUGGCUGCAACUGUUUAUUAAAAACACAGCACUGUGCAAACACGAAAGUGGACGUAUACGGUGUGACGCCUGCCCGGUGCCGGAAGGUUAAUUGAUGGGGUUAUCCGUAAGGAGAAGCUCUUGAUCGAAGCCCCGGUAAACGGCGGCCGUAACUAUAACGGUCCUAAGGUAGCGAAAUUCCUUGUCGGGUAAGUUCCGACCUGCACGAAUGGCGUAAUGAUGGCCAGGCUGUCUCCACCCGAGACUCAGUGAAAUUGAACUCGCUGUGAAGAUGCAGUGUACCCGCGGCAAGACGGAAAGACCCCGUGAACCUUUACUAUAGCUUGACACUGAACAUUGAGCCUUGAUGUGUAGGAUAGGUGGGAGGCUUUGAAGCGUGGACGCCAGUCUGCGUGGAGCCAACCUUGAAAUACCACCCUUUAAUGUUUGAUGUUCUAACGUUGGCCCCUGACCGGGGUUGCGGACAGUGUCUGGUGGGUAGUUUGACUGGGGCGGUCUCCUCCCAAAGCGUAACGGAGGAGCACGAAGGUUAGCUAAUCCUGGUCGGACAUCAGGAGGUUAGUGCAAUGGCAUAAGCUAGCUUGACUGCGAGCGUGACGGCGCGAGCAGGUGCGAAAGCAGGUCAUAGUGAUCCGGUGGUUCUGAAUGGAAGGGCCAUCGCUCAACGGAUAAAAGGUACUCCGGGGAUAACAGGCUGAUACCGCCCAAGAGUUCAUAUCGACGGCGGUGUUUGGCACCUCGAUGUCGGCUCAUCACAUCCUGGGGCUGAAGUAGGUCCCAAGGGUAUGGCUGUUCGCCAUUUAAAGUGGUACGCGAGCUGGGUUUAGAACGUCGUGAGACAGUUCGGUCCCUAUCUGCCGUGGGCGCUGGAGAAUUGAGGGGGGCUGCUCCUAGUACGAGAGGACCGGAGUGGACGCAUCACUGGUGUUCGGGUUGUCAUGCCAAUGGCACUGCCCGGUAGCUAAAUGCGGAAGAGAUAAGUGCUGAAAGCAUCUAAGCACGAAACUUGCCCCGAGAUGAGUUCUCCCUGAGACUUUAAGUCUCCUGAAGGAACGUUAAAGACGAUGACGUUGAUAGGCCGGGUGUGUAAGCGCAGCGAUGCGUUGAGCUAACCGGUACUAAUGAACCGUGAGGCUUAACCU